AUAUCAAUAAGCGGAGGAAAAGAAACUAACAAGGAUUCCCCUAGUAACUGCGAGUGAACCGGGAAAAGCUCAAAUUUUGAAUCUGGCAGUCCUUGAGGCUGUCCGAGUUGUAAUCUAGAGAAGCGUUUUCCGCGCUGGACCGUGUAUAAGUUUCCUGGAAAGGAACGUCAUAGAGGGUGAAAAUCCCGUCUUUGACACGGACUCCCAGGGCUAUGUGAUGCGCUCUCGACGAGUCGAGUUGUUUGGGAAUGCAGCUCAAAUAGGGUGGUAAAUUCCAUCUAAAGCUAAAUACAGGCGAGAGACCGAUAGCGAACAAGUACCGUGAGGGAAAGAUGAAAAGAACUUUGGAAAGAGAGUUAAACAGUACGUGAAAUUGCUGAAAGGGAAACGCUUGAUGUCAGUCGCGUCGGCCGGGGAUCAGUCUGGCUUUAACUAGCUAGGCGUACUUCCUGGUCGACGGGUCAGCAUCAGUUUUGACCGUCGGAAAAGGGCUUGAGGAAUGUGGCACUCUCUUUACCGGGGGUGUGUUAUAGACUCUUGUCUUGAAUACGAUGGUUGGGACUGAGGAAACCGCAGCACGGCCUAUAUGGUUUUCGGGGCUUAGGCUCACGUUUAGCGUGCUUAGGAUGCUGGCAUAAUGGCCUUAAGCGA
This 651-nucleotide ribosomal RNA is filed under the name uncultured fungus. Its description in RNAcentral is "eukaryotic LSU rRNA". It matches the Rfam family "Eukaryotic large subunit ribosomal RNA", at positions 40 to 647 of the family's 3401-position model. The record is from RNAcentral. Lineage: Eukaryota; Fungi.